This is a long non-coding RNA of Poecilia latipinna (sailfin molly), 1235 nucleotides long. RefSeq lists it as uncharacterized. The transcript is spliced from 5 exons. NCBI's taxonomy places the organism in Eukaryota, Metazoa, Chordata, Actinopteri, Cyprinodontiformes, Poeciliidae. The record is from RefSeq and is a predicted model, not a curated record.
CAAAGAUGCCAGAUUUGACCGCACAGAUGUUGAUCUAGGCCAGAGUUUCUCUACUCCAGUCCUCAGCGGCCACUGCACCGCAUAUUUCCUCUUCCACAACACCUGAUUCAAAUGACUGCCUGACCUCUGCAUGCCACAAAGUCCUGCAAAGUCCUGUUAAUCCACCACUUAUUCAAAUCAGGUGUGUGGCAGGAGGGAAACGCCUAAAACAUGCAAGGCAGGGCUCCUUCCGGACCGGACCUGAGAAACGCUGAUCUAUGACAACCUUCACCAGACUUAUUGAUCUUAAGGGUUAAAAUAAUGCUCGAAGAAACGUCUUCGUCACAAAAACAACUGUUGCCUUUAGGAGUUUCUAGUACAUUCUCGUCCACAGCUGCUUUAGGUUAAAUCUCUUGGUAAAGCUGAGCCAUAAGGAAUCUCGGGCUCAGAUCCAGGCGCAGUUGAUUUAAGCACAAUGUGGUCCCAAUUUACCACAAACCUUUCAACUAUUUCGCUUUAAGAUGGCUAUAAAGUCAAGAUGGCUGUAAAAUGUGACAGCGUUGAUCACCAACAACCCUGUGAAAUAUUUAAUAAAUAAAAUUGAUUGGGUAACACCACAGUGGAGAACGAGUCUGGGGACACAGUUGUUGAUGGUUCAAAUAGUUUCCUGAAGGUUUCGUCUGUCAGCGGAAGCAUUGAUGUCUACGUGGGAGACGGUGGUACCGCUGACCUCAACACUAGGGACGGAGCGGUGAGUGUGCGCGUCCCGUCUUCGCUUAGAGCUGGUGUAAACCUCUGCGGCGUGGCGGUGAACGUCAGCCCAGAGGUUCUUCUGCACGACGAACAAAGACGCACCGCAGACGGCCGGACCACACUGACUGGCUGUAUGAGUGGAGAGCCUCCUGUUGACCAGUGGGUCAAAGCUCGGGCGGACAGAGGAUCUGUCCAGCUGAGGACACAAAGCUGGCUCGAGUCCCUGAAGCUCAGGAGCUAAGUGACGGGACGCAUCGUGAUGUUCUCAGGGGCGUAAACGUCAAGAUCGGAUAUUAAUACAACGGCAACAGCUGAAUGUCAUUCACCUCUGUCUUCACCUCUGUCAAUGUGCUGUAAAUACUUAAGAAAUACACCUUUUAAUUUAAAGUGUCUUUUGAAUUGAAUGCUCUUCAUGUCGGAUCACACAAUCAUUGUAUUGUGACUGUGUGUAUUUAGCAUUUUACAUGAUUAAAAAGGUAUUUUAAUAAAAUAGGUUCUUUAAU